Molecule: transfer-messenger RNA, 311 nt
Filed under: bacterium
Lineage: Bacteria
Rfam family: transfer-messenger RNA
About the family: Bacterial tmRNA, also known as 10Sa RNA or SsrA, is named for its dual tRNA and mRNA-like properties. Its role is to liberate the mRNA from a stalled ribosome. To accomplish this part of the tmRNA is used as a reading frame that ends in a translation stop signal.
Source: RNAcentral
GGGAACGACGGGCUUUGACAAAAUAAAAUUUUAAAGUGUCGCAGGCCGAGCGCCUAACUCGUACUCUGGGCAAAACAAGAACUGCUAAUCAAAAAUUGGCAUUCGCUUACGCUUAAUAUUGCAUAAGCCAUCGGCGUAUCAAGGUCUCAUAGAUACAUCACCGGUGUCAUAUUUGAGAAUCGUCUCGGAAAGUUGAUCUUGUAUCCGCGAUUAAAUUUCAAGAUCGUUCGUUCUGUUGAUUCAGAUCUAAGCUUGUAGAUGGUGCUUUAAAACUAUUUUGGAUGUGGGUUCAACUCCCACCGUUUCCACAA